Fukomys damarensis (Damara mole-rat) is the source of this 1765-nucleotide long non-coding RNA. RefSeq lists it as uncharacterized. The transcript has 4 exons. Lineage: Eukaryota; Metazoa; Chordata; Mammalia; Rodentia; Bathyergidae. The record is from RefSeq and is a predicted model, not a curated record.
GCUGUAGGGACACAGACUCGGAGGUCACCAGCCCGGACACGCUCAGCCGGAGCUCCCGACCUCGACAACCCUCCCGCUCCGCCGCACCUGUAGAAGUUCUCCGACCCUCCGAUGGCCACCAGGCAGUAGGUGUUGCUUUCCGCUUCCGCCUCGGCCCGCAGAGACUUCCGGGAGAGCCCGGCACGCCAGCCACGCCUGCGCCCCUCUAGCCCCACCCCGGGGAGGGACUCUAUGGCUGCAAAUACUCUGUCCAGCGCCUCGCCUGGCCCCGCUCGCAGCACGCUCGCCCGCCCGCCCUCAUUGGUUCGUUCAUUCUUUCGCUCUGGAGCUUUUUGGGAGGUUCAGGCGACUGAGACCUGUGGCUGGUCGGUGUGACACGAGGGAGAGGAGGAGCCAGCGCCUUCUCCCCGAAGGUGGGGUGAUGAGAGAGCUGCCUGCGACCACCUGCUCGCAGUCGAUGAUGAUGAACUUCUCCAGGGCCUGCCCAGUGAAGCGGCGACCUGCCUUGCUGCACUUCCUGUCUCAGAGAAGCCAGAGGUCCUAGUUCCAAUUCUGCAUCUAAGUUGCUGUGUGACUUGAGCUGCUCCCCCUCCCUCCCUGGAUCUCGGUGUAUACCUCUGUGAAAGUGAAUGUCUGAAGAGAUGAAGCCCUUACCUUGCGGGCCUGGCUGAAGAGGAAACGCAGCAAGUCCUUGAUGUUCUUGGCCUUGUCCCUCUGGAAGUGGACCACAGCCUGGGUGGGGCUGAAGCCUGUGGCCUGUGGAACCUCAGGCCAGCCCAGGUCCAGGUCUGGAGGGUCUACAUCAGAGGCCAUGGGGAAGUAGGUGCCUGAGGUGACUUCAGAGAGCAGGCUGAGGCGGUCAGGCCCUGAGGCCUCAGGGCCCUGGGGCUCACUGAGCUCAGGACCCGCUCGCACAUGGCUGGUCAUGUAGUCCACAUCCAGAGCGCUCAGGAAGGGCAGCUCCCGCUCCUCAGAGAUGACCUGCAGGUAGGCAGCCUCGCCCCUUUCCAGGAGGGCAUCGGUUGCCAGCCUAGCUGCCUCGCUGUGCUGCAGCACCAGAGGUGAGCUCUCCCGCCACCAGGGCCGCUUCAGUUCCUCCACCCGGCCCCGCAGGGGUCCUGCCAUUCCCUGAGUCCCUCCAGGCCCUAGGCCUCCAAACAUUCCUGGCCACUGGGUGCCUCACCUACCGGCAGGUUCCAUUGCCUACACCUGAAUUGGCUGCAGCAGGAAGAGGAUACUAGCUGCACCGCCUCUCGGCCCUCCCAGUAUGAGGCAGGGCCCCCAACUUGUUGCCACCCUAAGUCAGAGCUAUGCUCCGCCCCAUUGCCCCUGGCCUCUGGAACCUGUCAGGUCAGCCCCACCUGUCUGCCUAUGUCAGGACUCGCCUGCCUGGGAAGCGGCAGUGCCAGGCCUUUAGUGCGUGCACACUGCUGCCUCCCUCCCCUUACAUUUCAGGAGCGCCACCCCAUCCCACCAGGCUCCUAGCAAGUCUCCAACCCUGACCUUCUAGGGACCCAUUGAGGUUGGAGACAGGCCGAAGGGGCUGAGCCUGCUCAGGGGCACACACACUCCGUGGUGGUGAAUGACUCAGGACACCCAGAGAAAAGACAUGGACGCACAAGCAGAUACACUUACGGACAGCUGAAUGACAUGUAGACAUGGACCACAGGCUAUCAUGCCACCACACAUAUAAAACAUUAUAGGAAUCUUACUUAUUUUUAAAUUUUAUUAAUACAUGUUUGCAGUACAUAAUGAUUAUAUUCAU